Long non-coding RNA from Triticum aestivum (bread wheat), 1650 nucleotides. RefSeq lists it as uncharacterized. The transcript is spliced from 3 exons. Lineage: Eukaryota; Viridiplantae; Streptophyta; Magnoliopsida; Poales; Poaceae. The record is from RefSeq and is a predicted model, not a curated record.
AAAACCUAGCGAGCAACCAAUCCUCUCCCUACCUCGAGCCCCGCGCCCCUCGUUUUCCCCUUCUCCCCGGAUUCUCCACCUCCGCGGUCGCCGUCUCGUCGCCCGACGUCCUGCCUCAUCAACGGCCGCCCUCCUACCUCCUUCUCUUGGGUUACUGCCCCCACGCUCGAGGUAGAGCAACGGCGGCGCAGCUCCUCCUCACGGACACGACCGCCUCCGCCUGCUCAUCUUCCAGCUGCUGUCGUCGGCACAGCGGCCUUAGGGUGGAGGCGGCACACACAGGCAUAUAGGCAACAUGAUGGCUGCACGAUACGCCGACAUGAGAGGAAUCUAGGUCGAGCCCCCACCCAGGCGGCAGCCUGCAGGGGAGGAUAGCUCGAGGACAACCCCCAAUUCAUGGAGAAGACUCUCGGUACAGGGAGCUAUGGUUCGGCCGGGUUUGAUUCCUACAGUGAUGGCAGCAUCGGCUAGCAGCUGCACAUCCCUCGACUUCUACAACCUCGCCCACCGAGCGCCUCUCUUUUUUAGGUGGUGCCACUGUUCCCCAUACUUUGUUUUUAGAAUUUUAUACACACUGAUCUAUAGGUUGGUCAGAUCUGUUGUAUGAGGCAGCACAGGAAUAAGAACAAUUUUCAGAUGUGUGCUAAUCCAAAUUUAGGCUAGAUUUUUCAUGAGCGGGUUUAGGAUUGUAUUGGAGACCUUGAUGGCUGCCUCUAUGUGCCAUUUCAGGGACUCAAAUUAUGCAUUACAUACAAUCAGUCACGUGAUUGGUUUUCUAAUUUAGCAUACUAAUGAUUUUUAUUCGGGAUGUCAUAGAUAUCGUAAGUUGUGUUUGAACUUUGCUGCUAAACCAGCUCCAUGUUUCACAUAAACAUGAUAUCAGUUUUAAUCAACUAUGGCCAGAUGUGGUCUCCUCGAGGCACCGGAAUGUCACAGAUAUCGUAAGUUGUGUUUGUGCUUUGCCGUAGCCACCGGGAGACCUUGACUGAGAUUGAGAGACAACUGACCACACCCGAUCUAGGUAUAAUUGGCUUGAUUUUCUCUCUCUUGAAUAUUGCUUCCAAAUUUGCAUGACAUGUAUACAUUACAAUCUGUUCAUCCUUGCUUCGAAUUGUUGGUUCAUGGAAUUAAUUUGUACCUGUACUUAUGCAAUCAUAAUCUCCUUAAAGGUUCCUUCCUAGGUUAGUGUCGUGUAUCUAGGCGGAAUCAGUGAAUAUCAUAUUUAGUUUAUUUCAAUUGUGAACCCAUUCUUGGCAGAAAAUGUAUGCAUGGAAGUUUUACUCGUGAAGAACGCACGUAGCUACACCGUUUAGCUACCAGCAGGUGCGUCCUACUCUGCUUGCAGCGACGACGGACUAUCUCUCCUACUAUUGUCACUUUAAACAUUAGAAAUGCCAUCUUUCAGCUUAGAUUUGGAUUGCAGCACUAAUCCUUUGAGCUCACCAUUUGCGCAUUUGAUUUGUAUGUGCAGUCCACAGUUAUCAAACACUUGGUUGGCCGUUGAAAUAUAGUUGUUGAAUCUGUCUUUUUGAUACAGGUUUGUGGGGAUGGAUGUAACACCUCAAAAUUUUGACCUUGUUUUAUUAAUUAAAAUUUUGCCAGGAAAUUAAAUUUUUAUUUUGUGGAUUUAUCUUUUGAUUUCAGAACCUC